GAUGAACGCUAGCGGCAGGCUUAACACAUGCAAGUCGAGGGGUAUAUAAAGAGCUUGCUUUUUAUAGAGACCGGCAAACGGGUGCGUAACACGUACGCAAUCUACCCCAAAGUGGAGGAUAGCCUUUGGAAACGAAGAUUAAUACUCCAUAAUAUCAUAAUGUGGCAUCAUAUAAUGAUUAAAGAAUUUCGCUUUGGGAUGAGCGUGCGUCUGAUUAGAUAGUUGGUGAGGUAACGGCUCACCAAGUCAACGAUCAGUAGCUGAUGUGAGAGCAUGAUCAGCCACACGGGCACUGAGACACGGGCCCGACUCCUACGGGAGGCAGCAGUGAGGAAUAUUGGUCAAUGGACGAAAGUCUGAACCAGCCAUGCCGCGUGGAGGAUGAAGGUCCUCUGGAUUGUAAACUUCUUUUAUUAGGGAAGAAACCCGAGUUUUCUAACUCGGUUGACGGUACCUAACGAAUAAGCACCGGCUAACUCCG
Molecule: ribosomal RNA, 481 nt
Filed under: uncultured Chitinophagaceae bacterium
Lineage: Bacteria; Pseudomonadati; Bacteroidota; Chitinophagia; Chitinophagales; Chitinophagaceae
Description: bacterial SSU rRNA
Rfam family: Bacterial small subunit ribosomal RNA
Source: RNAcentral